This 468-nucleotide ribosomal RNA is filed under the name uncultured bacterium. RNAcentral's name for it is "partial 16S ribosomal RNA". It matches the Rfam family "Bacterial small subunit ribosomal RNA", at positions 29 to 507 of the family's 1533-position model. The record is from RNAcentral.
CACGAACGCUGGCGGCGUGCUUAACACAUGCAAGUCGAACGGAAAGGCCCUGCUUUUGUGGGGUGCUCGAGUGGCGAACGGGUGAGUAACACGUGAGUAACCUGCCCUUGACUUUGGGAUAACUUCAGGAAACUGGGGCUAAUACCGGAUAGGAGCUCCUGCUGCAUGGUGGGGGUUGGAAAGUUUCGGCGGUUGGGGAUGGACUCGCGGCUUAUCAGCUUGUUGGUGGGGUAGUGGCUUACCAAGGCUUUGACGGGUAGCCGGCCUGAGAGGGUGACCGGCCAAAUUGGGACUGAGAUACGGCCCAGACUCCUACGGGAGGCAGCAGUGGGGAAUAUUGCACAAUGGGCGGAAGCCUGAUGCAGCAACGCCGCGUGCGGGAUGACGGCCUUCGGGUUGUAAACCGCUUUCGCCUGUGACGAAGCGUGAGUGACGGUAAUGGGUAAAGAAGCACCGGCUAACUACGUG